AUAUCUCUCUGUACGGGAAGGAUGAGAAGCUUCGACUAAGGUUCGAUUCGAGCGUCAGCGAGAAAGCGUUGCCGCAGGCAACGACCCGAAGGGCGAAGCGCGCAGCGC
This 108-nucleotide small RNA is filed under the name Salmonella enterica. RNAcentral's name for it is "partial RtT sRNA". It matches the Rfam family "RtT RNA", at positions 1 to 106 of the family's 130-position model. Rfam says of the family: This family represents a bacterial cis-regulatory element known as RtT RNA. The exact function of RtT is unknown although it is thought that it may be involved in changing the cellular response in relation to amino acid starvation. Lineage: Bacteria; Pseudomonadati; Pseudomonadota; Gammaproteobacteria; Enterobacterales; Enterobacteriaceae. The record is from RNAcentral. RNAcentral also lists the same sequence under 1 other name.